GGGAAGGGAUGGCAUGAUUGCUUUUUUGAAAUAUUAAGAAAAUAAAAACAAUGUGCAUGGAGAAGCUGUGAUUUAUGAUCUGGGUCCACUGCUGGAUAAUCAAAAUUCAGGAAGCUGUGGCUUUUCCAUACAGGGCUGGAACACAGAGCACAGAGCCGUGCAGGUUCUCGGGGCAGCAUAGUGGAGGUGUGGGGCUCCUGUUGGCAGAGCCGCCAUUCUUUUCAUUCCUACCACAGAACCCAUUGGAUCUGACUUCGAUGAGUACCUGCGUAUUGAUUCUCUUUGCUGCCAGAGCGUGUUUCUCAUCUGAUUUCCUCCCAGCAGUUCUGACUCAACAAGUUUCUGCAGCCAUAGAGAGUCAGGCUCAAUAUUUUCCUGUGUGAUUAGAAAUUUUCCAGUCUCUGUACUCCUGGAGAAUUGCAGAAAGCUGAUCCCCAUACCUUCUGCGUUAACCCAAUAUGGUUUUGUUUCUGAAGGAGUAUGGAGUGGCCUCUGGAGCAGCUGUACAGCCACUGUCUGGGGUUGCUGCCCCUGCUGUGGGUAUGCCUUGCUGCAGCAGCACCCGGAUUUAGGGUAGGUGUGAGCGCUACCCGUAUCAGCACUCCAAUUAAAGUCAGGCACAAGUAGGAGGCUGCAGCACACAGGCCUCUCAGUAAGGAUGCUGAAUGAACUUCCCAAAGUCAAUGAAGUUUGAUUUUUUUUUUUUGAACUUCAAAAUCACUGUAUUUCAGGAUAAUGGAAAUCAUAUUCAGCAUUCCGAAUAAUUUGCAUCUUACUAUCUUGCAGAGAAAACAUUUGAUAAGCAAACAGAAGAGCAAGUUAUUAUAGGCAAAGAGGCAGGGAAAAGUGAUUUGGGAAAAGCACUCCUCCUUCCCCCAGACUGUUCCAUUUCUUCCAUUCUGAAAUGGAAAAACAGAGAUUCGUUUGUAUAGUACAUAGUAAUUACAAAGUGACUAUUCUAUAAAUCUGGUGGAUUUUUUCAUUAUUUAAAUGGGGCCUUUCACAAAGGAGAUUUGAGCCCGUGUGUGAGCUUUCUGUUUCAGCUUCAAAUUUUCCUUUGGAAAAAAAAAAGGUCUGUGUUGUUUUUUUUUUUUUUUUUUUUUUUUUAGGGCUAGGUGUUUUAUAUGGUUAAGUUAAAACAUGCCUGGAGAGGCUGUAGUUAUUCUUCUGUAUGAAAACAAAUGCACUUAUUUUUUUUUUUUUCAACAUUUAGCAUACACUCCUUUAAAAAUAUCAUUUAUUCCUAGUGUAUUCUGUUUUUGAAUCUCCUACCACCUAUGAUUUCUUUGAAUGGGUGAAUUCUAGCGUGCACAUUCGUUGCCUCCUCUUCCUCGCAGGGGGGUUGGAGCUUGAUGGCCCUUGAGGUCCCUUCCAACCCAAGCCAUUCUAUGAUUCUGUGUUGCUGUAAAUCAGUUAUGGGGCUGACACACCAUUUGGCCGUGCUGCAAAUGUUCCGUAAUAAUGCAACUCAGUAAAAUGUGGAAUUUGUGAGGUACUGCCUGUAACAUUGUCAACGCUGUUGUAAAUUCCCAGCCACGUCAGCACAGGUGGAAGGAAAGCCAUAAAUAAACUGUGUGCGCGUGCAAAUGUGUGAGUGCA
Numida meleagris (helmeted guineafowl) is the source of this 1599-nucleotide long non-coding RNA. The record is from Ensembl. NCBI's taxonomy places the organism in Eukaryota, Metazoa, Chordata, Aves, Galliformes, Numididae.